RNAcentral lists this long non-coding RNA (233 nucleotides) under Helianthus annuus (common sunflower). Its description in RNAcentral is "hypothetical non coding rna". The record is from RNAcentral. Lineage: Eukaryota; Viridiplantae; Streptophyta; Magnoliopsida; Asterales; Asteraceae.
AUGAGUUCCAACACUCAUUUGGUUUACAAGACUUCAUUCUAUCCAAUCUUCCGAUUUAGGUUUGAAGUUCUUUUGAUUGAGGAUAGUUUGCACUUCAUGUGAAUACAUAGUUCCCCUAUUUUACUGUUUUCAAUUGUUUUGGGGUGAUUCAUAUGUUAAACGAUUUUCAAGGUUUAAACGAUGGUUUUUCAAAAGCGAUUAAAAUGGUUUAUGUUAAAUUAAUAACGAUUUCA